This 301-nucleotide ribosomal RNA is filed under the name uncultured bacterium. RNAcentral's name for it is "partial 16S ribosomal RNA". It matches the Rfam family "Bacterial small subunit ribosomal RNA", at positions 509 to 807 of the family's 1533-position model. The record is from RNAcentral.
CAGUAGCCGCGGGAAAACGUAGGGUGCAAGCGUUAAUCGGAAUUACUGGGCGUAAAGCGUGCGCAGGCGGUUCGUUAAGACAGAUGUGAAAUCCCCGGGCUUAACCUGGGAACUGCAUUUGUGACUGGCGGGCUAGAGUAUGGCAGAGGGGGGUGGAAUUCCACGUGUAGCAGUGAAAUGCGUAGAGAUGUGGAGGAACACCGAUGGCGAAGGCAGCCCCCUGGGCCAAUACUGACGCUCAUGCACGAAAGCGUGGGGAGCAGACAGGAUUAGAUACCCCCGUAGUCCCUGUCUCUUAUAC